This 74-nucleotide transfer RNA is filed under the name Culex quinquefasciatus (southern house mosquito). Its description in RNAcentral is "tRNA-Val". Lineage: Eukaryota; Metazoa; Arthropoda; Insecta; Diptera; Culicidae. The record is from RNAcentral.
ACCCGUAUGGAUCAAUUGGACCGCGCACUGAAUUCACAAUCCAGAGGUUGCCGGUUCGAAUCCUGCGGCGGGUG